Molecule: ribosomal RNA, 253 nt
Filed under: uncultured bacterium
Lineage: Bacteria
Description: partial 16S ribosomal RNA
Rfam family: Bacterial small subunit ribosomal RNA
Source: RNAcentral
UACGUAGGGUGCAAGCGUUAAUCGGAAUUACUGGGCGUAAAGCGUGCGCAGGCGGUGAUGUAAGCCAGAUGUGAAAUCCCCGGGCUUAACCUGGGAAUGGCAUUUGGGACUGCAAGGCUUGAGUACGGGAGAGGCGAGUGGAAUUCCUGGUGUAGCGGUGAAAUGCGCAGAUAUCAGGAGGAACACCGAUUGCGAAGGCAGCUCGCUGGAACGUUACUGACGCUGAGACGCGAAAGCGUGGGGAGCAAACAGG